AGACCUACAGUCCCCUCCUGCCCUACUAGUCCGUGUUAACAUAUAGCUCUGGGCAGCCACUGACUGGUGCUCUAACGGCAGCAGGGAGCAGUCGCUUGUCCUUAACUGUGCUGUGGCUGUUUGAACUAGUGUGUGGCUCUGACCUAAAGGUUCUUCCUUUCCCCUGGCUCCUUCUCCCUGCCCUAUUGCUGCUAGAGGUGGAAGGUGACUGCUGGUGCAAAGGUCCCUGCUUAGUUGCAAGCAACUUCAAACUUUUUUUCCUCAGGAAAACGCUUGAAAUAUGUUGGGGCCUCCCAGCCAGCCGUCAUACAGGGUUUGGCAGUGUUUGGGUUGGGUGGUCUUGUCUUUCUGCAAAUCUCUAGCUUGAGAGUCCAGCAGCAAUAGCUGGGCUGGGAGCAGAAGGUCUAGGGCUCCAAGUAGCAGCCUUCCCCACCCCUGCUCUGCCAGUCUUACACAUCAGUCCUGCAAGCUGCUUCAUGCAGGCAAACCUUUGCUCCUGUGCCCAGCCCUGCUGACUUAAGGGGCCUGCUCCAAGGAAGUACAGUGAAUUGGGGGAGCCUGAACAGACAACAUUCAUGAAUUCAAGUUCUUUCUUCUUGCUUUUCCACUUUUUUCUCCCUCCACUCAGGUUUUCUCUUUUAAUUUCCAACUCACUCCCUACCACCACCAUGCCACCAUUUACAUCGCCCCCAUUCGCAUGCAUGCCCCUUAUCAGCUUGUACCAGGUGGUGUACCCACACAUGAACAUUCCUACCUCAUUUGUCUGAUUUCUGUCUCCUGUACUCUCAUUCUCUAUGCUUCCUUCUUUGAAAAGCCACAUCUUUUUCUCAUCUUCCACUAACAAAUGCAGGAAUCAUAUCAGGAUCUGAAUCCCAGACCUCAUCUUUCCUUUCUCAUUCUUCCAUAUAUGUCCCUAUGAAGUGUUUGGGGAGUAACCUGCCCUCGGCAUCAUUCCCUUUCUCUGUUUCAGGUCUGGUCACUCAGAGCACCAACAAUGCCAUCCAAUAAGUCUGUCUCAGAUGCCCCAAUCUUCCAGUUCACAAACUGCCGGAUAUUGAGAAAUAGCCAACUGCAGAGGGAGGACCUGUGGGUGAGAGAAGGGAAGAUCCUCAACCCAGAAAAGCUCUUCUUCGAUGAGAAGGGGUUUGCUGAUAUUCAGCUGGAUUGUAAGGAUAGCAUCAUUGCUCCCGGAUUUAUAGAUGUGCAGAUCAAUGGAGGCUUUGGGGUGGAUUUCUCCCUGGCUACUGAUGACUUCAAAUCAGGGAUCAACCUGGUUAGUCAGAAGAUUCUCUCCCAUGGAGUGACCUCCUUCUGCCCCACCCUGGUGACCUCCCCACCAUCAGUCUACCACAAGGUUCUUCCUCAGAUCAGCGUAAGAAAUGGAGGAGCCCACGGAGCAGGUGUCCUGGGAGCCCAUCUGGAGGGGCCUUUUAUAAGUAGGGAGAAGAAGGGGGCUCAUCCAGAGCACUGCCUUCGCACCUUUGAGUCAGGAGCCUUCCAGGACUUGCUUGCCACCUAUGGGGCCCUGGACUGCAUCCGGAUUGUCACUCUGGCCCCCGAGAUGAAGAGGAGUGGUGAGGUGAUCGAGGAACUCACUAAACGAGGCAUCUGUGUCUCACUAGGUCACUCUGUGGCUAAUCUCUCUCAGGCAGAGGAAGCUGUCCAGCAUGGUGCUACCUUUAUCACUCACUUGUUCAAUGCCAUGUUACCCUUCCACCAUCGAGACCCUGGGAUUGUUGGGCUGCUAACAAGUGACAAGAUCCCCACCGGGCGGAGGGUGUUCUAUGGCAUGAUAUCAGAUGGCAUCCACACCAACCCCGCUGCUCUGAGGAUCGCACAUCGUGCCCAUCCCAAAGGCAUGGUGCUGGUGACAGAUGCCAUUGCUGGAAUGGGGCUGGCUCCAGGAAGGCACACCCUGGGCCAGCAGGUGAUUGAGAUAGAUGGGCUGAACACCUACAUUGCAGGGACAAAAACCCUGAGUGGCAGCGUAGCAACCAUGGAUACAUGUGUUCGACACUUCCUAGAAGCUACAGGGUGCACAGUGGAGACAGCACUGGAGGCUGCGUCUCUCCACCCAGCCCAACUCCUAGGAAUUGAGCACAAAAAGGGGACCCUGGACUAUGAUUCAGAUGCAGAUUUCCUGAUGCUGGAUGACAGCCUGCAUGUCCAAGCCACAUACAUCGCAGGUGAGCAAGUCUGGAGGCAGGACUCCUUUACUAUAUGAAACCAGAGAAUCGCCUGGCCUUGGCUUUGCUCCCCACAGCCCUAGUGCCAACCGUUGGCUCUUCCAGGUGCCUUGGUCACUGGGCCCUGGCAGCUGCAUCGCCCUCUCUCUCCAAAUGCAACAUUUUUUUAAAGACCUAUUUGGGGCUUUCCUUGAAGGAAUCUAGCACCAAAGAGCUGUUCAUUCUAGAGCAGCUGCUGCUUCCAGUCUCCAGCCAUGCCUGCAACGAGUUCAUCAGUGCUUUGCUGACAAAGGUGAGCAUGGCAGGGAUCAUCACACAGUGGAGCAGCUGGAAAGAUGGGGCAGCUGUCCUUCCUGGAACACCUGAGCCGAGUUCCAUAGUGGCUGCCAGCACUGUCCUGUGCCAGUCUGAGACUGCACAGCCCUGUGUACUUAUCAGUCAGAUCCAGCGCACACACCUGAUCCCAGGAGCUAAAGCCAUUUCUGUCCCUCACACUGCCUUGAUCUCUCCCUGGGGGCAGUCCUCCACACAAGAGCACCUGGUUCCUAAUGUACAGCUCUUUUAUAAAAGUGUCUCUGCCCAGUGUAAAACUGCUCUGGUGGAAGCUCAGGAGUGCGUUGUGAGCCUGGGGAGGAGACGGUGCCUCUGCCCUGCACUGUCAUCCAGGGGCUCCAAGGUCCCAUCACACUUCUGCUCACCUGUUACCCAGAGCAGUACCUCCACCCAUGCACUUUUGGUCUUGGGACAGAUGCAGUCUCUAGGGUGUGACUCUGCAGGGCAGGUUUCUCCCUGGGAGCAGGCCUCAACGCUGUACUCCAAAUCCGAAAAAACAAGACAUCCCUGGCCCCUUGUGCCUUCCUUCUGCUUGAGCAUUGAGUCUAUUUCAGGUGGCCUCUGUUGCCUUCAUAGACAACUUCCUGCAAGAGAAAGCAAUGUUCUUAAGCCAUACACACAUGCAAAAUGGAUCUGACAGGGUCUGAUAUAUAUGCCCAUCAGUAUCUUAACAUACAGCUUCCCUAGAGGAUUUUGCAUUGCCUCUUAGUUUCCUGGUGCCAGCUAGGAGAUGCUUUUGCUGUCCAGCAUGUAUCUCUGCCAUUUCCAACACAAUUGCAAGCCACUGUGCGUCUCAGGAUGCUGGGGUCUUUCAUGGUUUAUACCCCAGAGAGUCUCUCUGAAAUUAGGCCCUUUUAAGAUGGUUGUUCAUCUAUUCAUUAUUCCCAUAUUCAUUAUCAUCCCCUCAAGGAUUUGUCAAACAGCUUUCUGCCACUUAACAGCUCUCCCUAAUUAAGGCUGUGAAAUAAUUUCCAGCCCAAGUCUGAUCUUGAUUUAGAAUUUAUGGCCAAGAAAAUGUGUCUGAAAUGCCUUGUGACUAAGGUCAGAAAUGAUGCCCAAAAAACUUCUGGUCCAUCAGAAUUUUGUUAGAGAUGAGACUUAAAGAAAUGUGAUGAGCCUUACCAAGUUUAAAGGUGAUAUAGAACCCCUAAAGUCCGAAAGAGUUCAGUUGGGUUUUUUCUUCCAUGUAAAAGCUUCCAGUACCUUUUUUAAACCUGUGAGAACAAUGCUUGAAAGAGCCUUCAGGACAAAUAUAACCCCUGCUGGAAUGACUGACAGCCCUGGAAAAUGUCUAGCAUCUGGUGCCUAGGUCAGCAGAAACUAAACCCUCCAAGACUGCAACAUUUGAAAGAGACAUCAAAUAUCGUGCUGUGAAAUAUUACUUAAUCUGGCACUACAGGACUCACUAACAGAACUUCUGACAACCAUGGGGUUGCUGCCCAAAAAUCAAGGGAAUGCUAGGACAAAAACUAUUCCAGACAGACCUUCAUUUUAAAAAGGCAUUUCGCUUAAUCUCUUAGUGUUCUUUUUUUCCCCUACCCAAAAAACUAAAUGCUCAAAAGGAAAUCUGCUUACAGCAUGGUUGGGAUAGCUUGUAUAAAGGUAUGUUUGAACCUGCAUAUUGGAUAAGUAUUGUUGAAACUCGCCCAUGCCUUCUGUUCCACCUAUGUUCGUGGUAUGUCAUACCAAAAUGGCACAUUUAACAGCUGGAUUUAAGGUUGUACGUUGCAACUCCUUUGUGGUGCACUGGAUAGAGGGUAGUUUGUUGAACUGGAGAUUAAUAUAUUCCAAAUGAUGUGGUGGGAUUUGGUAUUUGACAGUGGAGGGCAGCAUUAGGUUAGGUGUGGACAUUGCCUUCACCUAGGACUUGUGUUUAGGGUCCGUGUGAGGAAAACCCAUUGGAAAACUGAACAAGUGGCUUUUUUUUUUCCCUUUGGCGAGGGUGAGUGGGAGGAACAAGCAGCAGAGGCGCAGGCGCUCUCCUGGAGUUAGGCCUCUGCUUGGCAAACGUUUCUGCGCUGCUUUAAUUUUAAGCACGGAAGGAAGCCGUCUGGGAUUCCCCAUUCACCGCAGCGGAGCGAAGGGGCAGAGCUGCCUGCUGGCCGUCGGGCCCGGCUUAGCUGCUCUGCCAUCUCGGCGCUGCGGGAAUAAGGUUAUGUAGGAGGAUUCCAGAGCUGAAGGUCAGCCCAGCCAACUUUCCCAAUGGAGGAGUCAGAUGAACAGCUUCGAAGAGAAGUGGACUGGUGUGUGGAGCAGCUGGAACUAGGCCUGAAGAUGCAGAAAUCCACUCCAAAGCAAGUUGAUGAGGCCCUGCGUGCCAUCAGGACACUGCAC
Molecule: RNA transcript, 4853 nt
Organism: Alligator sinensis (Chinese alligator)
Lineage: Eukaryota; Metazoa; Chordata; Crocodylia; Alligatoridae
Gene: AMDHD2
Gene name: amidohydrolase domain containing 2
Exons: 14
Source: RefSeq, a predicted model, not a curated record